This 1929-nucleotide ribosomal RNA is filed under the name Triticum aestivum (bread wheat). RNAcentral's name for it is "partial small subunit ribosomal RNA". Lineage: Eukaryota; Viridiplantae; Streptophyta; Magnoliopsida; Poales; Poaceae. The record is from RNAcentral.
AUGCUGUCCGCGCGCACCGCCGCCGCCGCGUCCCCCGCCGCCUCCCUGUGGAAGCGCGGAGGUGGCGCGGGGGCCCGCGGGGACGGAUGCACGAGCUGCCUGGAGGUGCGGAGGAGGGCCGCGGCGGUGACGGUCCGCGCGGCGCAGCCCAAGAGGGUCGAGGCGGUGGCGAUGGAGUCGGCCGCCGAGACCGCGGAGGCCGAGAAGGAGGUGGCCGCGGCGGGCGGCGGCGUGGAGGACAAGUACGGCGAGGACAGGGCCACGGAGGAGCUGCCCGUCACGCCAUGGGCCUUCUCCGUCGCGAGUGGUUACACCCUUCUGAGAGAUCCGCAUCACAACAAAGGACUGGCCUUUACCGAGAGGGAGCGGGACGCUCACUACUUGCGUGGCCUUCUUCCUCCAGGAGUUGUCUCCCAGGAUCUCCAAGUGAAGAAGAUCAUGCACAACCUUCGCCAGUACAAGGUCCCGUUGCAGCGCUAUGUGGCCAUGAUGGACCUUCAGGAGAGAAAUGAGAGGCUUUUCUACAAGCUUCUAAUUGAUAACGUGGAGGAGCUGCUCCCUGUGGUUUAUACACCAACUGUAGGUGAGGCCUGCCAGAAGUAUGGGAGCAUAUUUAGGCGCCCACAGGGUCUGUAUGUCAGCUUGAGAGACAAGGGGAAGGUCAUUGACGUGCUAAGGAACUGGCCUGAGAGGAACAUUCAAGUUAUUGUAGUCACUGAUGGUGAGCGCAUUUUGGGGCUUGGAGAUUUGGGUUGUCAGGGAAUGGGAAUUCCUGUUGGCAAACUUUCUCUGUACACUGCCCUUGGAGGAGUUCGCCCGUCAGCUUGCUUGCCUAUUACAAUUGAUGUUGGUACUAACAAUGAGCAAUUGCUCAAUGACGAGUUCUACAUCGGGCUUCGGCAAAGACGUGCUACUGGAGAGGAGUAUCAUGAGCUCAUGGAAGAGUUCAUGGAUGCUGUUAAACAAAUAUAUGGUGAAAAAGUUCUCAUCCAGUUUGAAGACUUUGCCAAUCACAAUGCGUUUGAUUUGCUUGCGAAAUAUAGCAAGAGUCAUCUUGUUUUCAAUGAUGAUAUCCAGGGAACAGCAUCUGUGGUCCUUGCAGGUCUGUUAUCUUCGCUGAAGGUUGUCGGUGGAACCCUAGCAGAGCACACCUAUUUGUUCCUUGGUGCUGGCGAGGCUGGAACUGGUAUUGCAGAACUCAUUGCUCUUGAGAUUUCAAAACAGACAAAUGCUCCAAUUGAAGAGUGCCGCAAGAAGGUUUUUCUGGUGGAUUCGAAGGGUUUGAUCGUUAGUUCCAGAAAAAACUCCCUUCAGCCAUUCAAGACAUCUUGGGCACAUGAGCGCGAACCUGUGACAACCUUGUUAGAUGCCAUCAAGUCCAUCAGACCUACGGUGCUGAUCGGGACAUCUGGAGUAGGCAGGGCUUUCACUAAGGAAGUUAUUGAAGCUAUGGCUUCUUUCAACGAGAGACCUGUCAUCUUCUCAUUGUCAAAUCCAACAUCGCACUCUGAAUGUACUGCUGAAGAAGCAUACAAAUGGACCCAGGGUCGUGCAGUGUUUGCCAGCGGAAGUCCGUUUGACCCUGUGGAGUAUGAUGGAAAGAUUCGUGUGCCUGGCCAGGCAAACAAUGCUUACAUUUUCCCUGGAUUUGGCCUUGGUGUUGUAAUUUCUGGAGCAAUCCGCGUACAUGAGGACAUGCUUCUUGCUGCCUCGGAAACACUAGCUGCACAGGCCACUCAGGAGAACUUCGACAAGGGAUCCAUCUUUCCACCCUUCACCAACAUCAGAAAGAUAUCUGCCCUCAUCGCUGCUAGCGUGGCUGCAAAAGCCUACGAACUCGGCCUGGCGACUCGCCUGCCGCGGCCGAGAGAUCUGGAGAAAUAUGCGGAGAGCUGCAUGUACACCCCUGUCUACCGCAGCUAUCGUUAA